CCUCUAUCUCGCGCACUCUCUUUUUUCUCUUUGUUCGGAGUGCUGCUUGCUCGCCUCCCUUCCUUCUCCCUCUGGCCCAUCCGCUCCACUCCUCUCCACUCCGUCCCCCCUCCCCACUCCACCCCAGCACCUCCGCCAGCGCCUCCUUCAGACAUUAGCAGCGGCAUCUCGGUACGCUUGUGUGCGCUGCGGUUGUUCUCUAUCCCUUUUUGUCCCCCCCCCCUUGUCGUCUCCCGCUGAAGCGACACUGGAAAAAGCCCCCAAGGAGAACGGGUUUCACGGCAUCGCGAUGGGGUCCGGCAUCUCCAAGGAGGCCGCUCCCGUGGCCUUCAAGAAUGGCAAGCCCACCGUCAAAGGGACCAAGACAUACCCGAUGUUCAGCAACAUCCUCUACCGCAUUGCCGACACGGAAGCCAGGCGCUGGGCUUUCUACAAUGAUAGCAGGGAGCUUAUCAUUCACGUGGCCGUCCUCUUCGACUACGACUCGCAGAUAGUGCCGCUGGGCGACACCACCGCCUUCCGCAUUGAUGACCCGGAUGAGGGUAACGAAGACGACUUUGGCAAGUAUCUCUGCGAGGUGGAUGUGCGCCCGCUCGAGACCCAGAUGUUCGUUGAGGGGUCGGUGACGGGGUGGCGCGUCGACACGCUCGAAGCCCGCACGGCUGAGGAUGAGCGUGGGUACCGCCUUUAGAUGAUACCUAUCUGGCGAGAAAAGGGAGGACUGGUAGGCGGGGCAUGAUCGAGACACACACACACAGACAGAAUCUCGUUCCCCAUGAAUUGCCCUUACGGUAUGCACUGUGCACCGGCGCCUGUGGUCCUCCUCCUUCUCCACCCUCUCUCCCUUUCCCGUUGCUGGAUUCCUGUGAUGGCAGCGCUGGCGACCAUAAAAGGUGCCGCAGCGCAUGACAGGAGGAGGAGGAGAGGCGGCAACGAAGCGAGGCGCACGAGAAGACAGGACGAAUGGGGCUCUUAGGAUACAGACGUAGGGAUCAAAACAAAAACAAAAAAAAACAAAAAAAACAGCGCUGUUAGCGCUCACGGGCGCAUUUGAGAGCUCGUGCGCGUGCUUGGGGCGAUACAGCGUCCUCUUUUCUCUCUUCUCCUGCGGCGUCCCCGUCGUUUCUUCCACUCCCGUUCUCAACCCUUUCUUUCCACCGUCUUCCGCUACCAUUCUCUCUCUUCAUUCUUUCUCCGAUCUCUUUAUGCAUGUGGUUAAUAAGACCCAGAGCCAUCGUUUUUCUCCUUUCUCCCUACUAUCUUUCCUGUGCAUAUGCUAGAGGCUGUGCAUGCGUGUGUGUGUGUGUGUCUGUGCGCCACUACACGUGUGGGCCUCUGUGGGAUUCUCUCUUUUUUUUUUCGUUGUUGAUGUUGCGGGCGUAUUGUGUGUGUGUGUGCAGGUGAGCGACUGUGACCUGCGCAUGGCUAUGCCUCUCUUUUUUUCCUUUCUGCUUUGGUGUAUCUCUGAUUGCUUCACAAGCGCGUGCUUGUUUCUCUCUCUCUGCGUGUGUGUGUGCGCGCUUGUGUAUGUGCGGCAAUACGGGUGGGCUGGCCGGCGGCUUGUGCGUGCAUCUCACCAUCUCUUUCCUCUUAUGACCGUGCAUGUGUGUAUGUGCUUUCUACGUCGCUUCCUGUGUGUGCAUAUGUGUCUACAUGUGUGCUUGUGUGUGUGUGUGUGUCCAUAUAGCUUCCUUUUUUUGUCUCUAGCUCGCCUGCUCACCUGCUCACUGCGUGCGUGCUUUCAGUUUUUGGCGCAGAUGUUUGUGUGUGUGUGUAUGCGUGUGGCCGUGGGUGGCCUUCAUUUUUUUUUGUAGUCUCUUCGCUUCCCUCUUGUGGUUUCGCGUCCUGCGCUGCCUUUUGUCUCCUUGUUCACUCUUUUCCCCUACUUUCUAUGUUUCCUCAGCAGACGGCGGCGGAGUGCACUCGGGAUCGUCCCCCUCUCCCUCUCCCUUCCUCUCGGUGCUCCUCGCUUCUCCUCCCAUUCAUUUUUCUCUUUUCGCUGUUGCAACUAUUAUUCUUGUUUUGCAUGUAAACGGUGUCUGGCGGGGGAGUGCACCCUCACCCGCCCUGCGGUGCAAGGUGCUUUCCUCCCUCGCCACACUCCCAUGUACGCACAAACGCACACACGCACACGCAAACACACGCGUUUGCGCUGCCUCGUCGAUUCCGCGAGGCACACGCGCGCCGUGCAUGUGUGCGCGUCGCCAGUUACGUGUAGUGACCACCGUGGGCGUUCACGAGUGGCGCCGAGGGAACACGCGCGGCUGGGUAGGGAUGAGGUGGCGUAGUGAGGCAGAAGGGGGACAGUCCAGGCAGUGCGUAGCAGCUUGCACGUGUGAUUUGCGAGAAAGGCUCAAAAGGGUCCUCGUGAGACGCAUAGGAACGCACUGCCAAACAGAGAAAGAAUUAGACGGAUCAAUGAAGCGAGCGGGCGUGCUUGUUUGCCUCUCUGGAGCGCAUCUUCGCACCUACAUGUGUGUCUUCCAUGCCUGUAUGCCAUCUUGUCGUUCUGUUCUUCCUUUCUCUGCGCACUCUCUCAGACCGACACCGCCAUCGAACUCGACAAAAGGCGAGAACGUGCAGAAGGGCGAGCGUGCAUGCGUGGGCGGGGGGAGGCGAUACGGAAAGAGGUAAGUCGGAGUGGUGACUCCGAGGUAUGUCUUUGGCGCUCUCUCACUCUUUCCCCUUCUCCUUCUUACUCAGCGUUGUAGUUUGUGUGCGCGCUUGUCUUUUUCAUUGUCUUCUCUCCUCUUUUUCUUCUUUCUGAACUUCGGGCCAAUGAAGAAGUGCUUGCGUGCGUGUAUGCAACUACCCCUUUUUCUAGCACCCUCUGUGUGUGUGUGUGCUGAUUACUGUGGCCGCCGUCAUCGACGUCGCGUCGUGCGAGUUGUCCCUCCUGCGCCCUCGCAAGCAGUUGUGUUUCCUCCUCUCUGUGUUUUGCUCUGCGCCUUUGGCGCUCUGGCAAGGAGCGGCGGCACACGUGCGGUCCGCGGCCCUCUCAGACUCUCGAUUCUCUGAAUACUUCCCCGUUUCUCCCCAUCGCAUGCGCCGCUUUCUCUUCUCUGCUCUUUGAUGGCCAUUCUUCACGGCCGAAGGGAGAGAAUGUGUCAGGGACCGUGCGCUGCGUUACGCGUUCGAGUGGGUUAACGACAACAC
This 3156-nucleotide unclassified non-coding RNA is filed under the name Leishmania donovani. Its description in RNAcentral is "gene:LdHU3.20.1580(CDS-product:Domain_of_unknown_ function_(DUF1935)_putative)". Lineage: Eukaryota; Euglenozoa; Kinetoplastea; Trypanosomatida; Trypanosomatidae. The record is from RNAcentral.